UANGGGUAAAAUCCGUAGAUAUCAGAAGGAAUACCGAUUGCGAAGGCGAUCUGCUGGAACAUUACUGACGCUGAGACGCGAAAGCGUGGGGAGCAAACAGGAUUAGAUACCCUGGUAGUCCACGCCCUAAACGAUGUACACUAGUUGUUGUGGUGCUAGUCACUGCAGUAAUACAGUUAACACAUUAAGUGUACCGCCUGGGGAGUACGGUCGCAAGAUUAAAACUCAAAGGAAUAGACGGGGACCCGCACAAGCGGUGGAGCAUGUGGUUUAAUUCGAAGAUACGCGAAAAACCUUACCUGGCCUUGACAUUGAUAGAAUCCUGUAGAGAUACGGGAGUGCCGGCUUGCCGGAACUCGAAAACAGGUGCUGCACGGCUGUCGUCAGCUCGUGUCGUGAGAUGUUGGGUUAAGUCCCGCAACGAGCGCAACCCACGUCCUUAGUUGCCAGCAUUUCGGAUGGGAACUCUAAGGAGACUGCCUUCGCAAGGAGGAGGAAGGUGUGGACGACGUCAAGUCAUCAUGGCCCUUACGGCCAGGGCUACACACGUGCUACAAUGGGGCGUACAAAGAGCAGCAAUACCGCGAGGUGGAGCAAAUCUCAAAAACGCCUCCCAGUUCAGAUUGCACUCUGCAACUCGAGUGCAUGAAGUUG
RNAcentral lists this ribosomal RNA (654 nucleotides) under uncultured Campylobacterota bacterium. RNAcentral describes it as "bacterial SSU rRNA". It matches the Rfam family "Bacterial small subunit ribosomal RNA", at positions 676 to 1328 of the family's 1533-position model. The record is from RNAcentral. Lineage: Bacteria; Pseudomonadati; Campylobacterota.